UUGAACGCUGGCGGCAUGCCUUACACAUGCAAGUCGAACGGUAGAGGGGCAACCCUUGAGAGUGGCGAACGGGUGAGUAAUAUAUCGGAACGUGCCCAGUCGUGGGGGAUAACGCAGCGAAAGCUGCGCUAAUACCGCAUACGAUCUAUGGAUGAAAGCGGGGGAUCGCAAGACCUCGCGCGAUUGGAGCGGCCGAUAUCAGAUUAGGUAGUUGGUGGGUAAAGCCCACCAAG
RNAcentral lists this ribosomal RNA (233 nucleotides) under uncultured bacterium. RNAcentral's name for it is "partial 16S ribosomal RNA". It matches the Rfam family "Bacterial small subunit ribosomal RNA", at positions 30 to 272 of the family's 1533-position model. The record is from RNAcentral.